This 314-nucleotide ribosomal RNA is filed under the name uncultured bacterium. Its description in RNAcentral is "partial 16S ribosomal RNA". It matches the Rfam family "Bacterial small subunit ribosomal RNA", at positions 495 to 807 of the family's 1533-position model. The record is from RNAcentral.
GUAUAAGAGACAGCAGUAGCCACGGGAAUACAGAGGGUGCAAGCGUUAAUCGGAAUUACUGGGCGUAAAGCGCGCGUAGGUGGUUUGUUAAGUUGGAUGUGAAAUCCCCGGGCUCAACCUGGGAACUGCAUCCAAAACUGGCAAGCUAGAGUAUGGUAGAGGGUGGUGGAAUUUCCUGUGUAGCGGUGAAAUGCGUAGAUAUAGGAAGGAACACCAGUGGCGAAGGCGACCACCUGGACUGAUACUGACACUGAGGUGCGAAAGCGUGGGGAGCAAACAGGAUUAGAUACCCCUGUAGUCCCUGUCUCUUAUAC